UCCGGUUUGUCACCGGCAGUCCCAUUAAAGUGCUCAACUGAAUGAUGGCAAUUAAUGGCAAGGGUUGCGCUCGUUGCGGGACUUAACCCAACAUCUCACGACACGAGCUGACGACAGCCAUGCAGCACCUGUGUCCAGGUUCCCUUUCGGGCACUCCCGACUCUCAUCGGGAUUCCUGGCAUGUCAAGGGUAGGUAAGGUUCUUCGCGUUGCAUCGAAUUAAUCCACAUAAUCCACCGCUUGUGCGGGUCCCCGUCAAUUCCUUUGAGUUUUAACCUUGCGGCCGUACUCCCCAGGCGGUCAACUUCACGCGUUAGCUUCGUUACCAAGGAAUUACUUCCCCGACAACCAGUUGACAUCGUUUAGGGCGUGGACUAC
RNAcentral lists this unclassified non-coding RNA (377 nucleotides) under uncultured Gammaproteobacteria bacterium. RNAcentral describes it as "contains 16S-23S intergenic spacer region". Lineage: Bacteria; Pseudomonadati; Pseudomonadota; Gammaproteobacteria. The record is from RNAcentral.